RNAcentral lists this ribosomal RNA (473 nucleotides) under uncultured organism. RNAcentral's name for it is "partial 16S ribosomal RNA". It matches the Rfam family "Bacterial small subunit ribosomal RNA", at positions 333 to 797 of the family's 1533-position model. The record is from RNAcentral.
ACACUCCUGCGGGAGGCAGCAGUGGGGAAUUUUGGACAAUGGGCGAAAGCCUGAUCCAGCAAUGCCGCGUGAGUGAAGAAGGCCUUCGGGUUGUAAAGCUCUUUUGUCAGGGAAGAAACGGUGAGAGCUAAUAUCUCUUGCUAAUGACGGUACCUGAAGAAUAAGCACCGGCUAACUACGUGCCAGCAGCCGCGGUAAUACGUAGGGUGCAAGCGUUAAUCGGAAUUACUGGGCGUAAAGCGUGCGCAGGCGGUUUUGUAAGUCUGAUGUGAAAUCCCCGGGCUCAACCUGGGAAUUGCAUUGGAGACUGCAAGGCUAGAAUCUGGCAGAGGGGGGUAGAAUUCCACGUGUAGCAGUGAAAUGCGUAGAUAUGUGGAGGAACACCGAUGGCGAAGGCAGCCCCCUGGGUCAAGAUUGACGCUCAUGCACGAAAGCGUGGGGAGCAAACAGGAUUAGAUACCCGAGUAGUCCCA